Arvicola amphibius (Eurasian water vole) is the source of this 436-nucleotide non-coding RNA. Lineage: Eukaryota; Metazoa; Chordata; Mammalia; Rodentia; Cricetidae. The record is from the annotation of a RefSeq genome assembly.
CCCAGACAGAAGACCCUAGUCUAAGAAGAAGCUGUGCUUGCCUAUCAUGGCUUGGACUCCUCUUGUCUUUAUUCUUCUAUCUUACUGUACAGGUUCUUUUUCUGAAUCUAUACUUACGCAGCCACCCUCCAUCUCUGCACCGCUGGGAACAACAGUCAGACUUACUUGCUCCUUGCAGAGUGGCAUCAGCAUAGUCAGGAAAGCAAUUCACUGGUACCAGCAGAUGCAGGGGAGCCCUCCUCGUUUUUUCCUGCGCUACUACUCAGACUCAAGCAAGAACCUUGGGCCUGGAGUCACCAAUAGUGUCUCUGGAUCCAAAGAUACCUCCAAAAAUGCUGCAGAGUUGCACAUCUCUCAGCUACAAGAAGAGGAUGAGGCUGACUAUUACUGUGCCAUCUGGGAAAGUAAUGCAUCUCACAGUGAUACAAGCAGAUGA